GAAUUUUAUAUAAUUAUUAUUUGAUUUUUUAAUUUUUAUAUUUGUUUAAAUUAUGAUUAUAUUUAGUUGGGAGGAUUGUUAAAUUUUUUAAACUUUAAUUAAUAAAUUACAUAAAUUAAUGUAUUAGAGAAUGAUUAUUUUAAUUAAUUAAGAAUUAAUUACCUUAGGGAUAACAGCGUGAUAUUUUUGGUGAGAUCAUAUUAAUAAAAAUGUUUGC
This 217-nucleotide ribosomal RNA is filed under the name Ochetomyrmex neopolitus. Its description in RNAcentral is "partial large subunit ribosomal RNA". Lineage: Eukaryota; Metazoa; Arthropoda; Insecta; Hymenoptera; Formicidae. The record is from RNAcentral.